GAUGAACGCUGGCGGCGUGCCUAAUACAUGCAAGUCGAGCGGAAAGGCCUCUUCGGAGGUACUCGAGCGGCGGACGGCAGAGUAACGCGUAGGAGCAUACCCCAAACUGAGGGAUAACUGCCCGAAAGGGUGGCUAAUACCGCAUGUGAUCUUCGGAUUAAAGCUUCGGCGGUUUGGGAAUGGCCUGCGUUCGAUUAGCUAGUUGGUGAGGUAAAGGCUCACCAAGGCGGCGAUCGAUAACUGGUCUGAGAGGAUGAUCAGUCUGACUGGAACUGAGACACGGUCCAGACUCCUACGGGAGGCAGCAGUAGGGAAUUUUCCACAAUGGGCGAAAGCCUGAUGGAGCAACGCCGCGUGCAGGAUGAAGGCCCUUGGGUCGUAAACUGCUUUUAUGUGAGAAGAAUAUGACGGUAACACAUGAAUAAGGGUCGGCUAACUACGUGCCAGCAGCCGCGGU
RNAcentral lists this ribosomal RNA (457 nucleotides) under uncultured bacterium. RNAcentral describes it as "bacterial SSU rRNA". It matches the Rfam family "Bacterial small subunit ribosomal RNA", at positions 28 to 521 of the family's 1533-position model. The record is from RNAcentral.